GACGAACGCUGGCGGCGUGCCUAACACAUGCAAGUCGAACGGAAGUAAGUGCUUCGGUAUUUACUUUAGUGGCGAACGGGUGAGUAACGCGUGAGGAACCUGCCUUUCAGUGGGGGACAACAGUUGGAAACGACUGCUAAUACCGCAUAAGCCCACAGCUCGGCAUCGAGCAGAGGGAAAAGGAGUGAUCCGCUUUGAGAUGGCCUCGCGUCCGAUUAGCUGGUUGGUGAGGUAACGGCCCACCAAGGCGACGAUCGGUAGCCGGACUGAGAGGUUGAACGGCCACAUUGGGACUGAGACACGGCCCAG
RNAcentral lists this ribosomal RNA (309 nucleotides) under uncultured bacterium. RNAcentral describes it as "bacterial SSU rRNA". It matches the Rfam family "Bacterial small subunit ribosomal RNA", at positions 28 to 334 of the family's 1533-position model. The record is from RNAcentral.